Molecule: ribosomal RNA, 424 nt
Filed under: uncultured bacterium
Lineage: Bacteria
Description: bacterial SSU rRNA
Rfam family: Bacterial small subunit ribosomal RNA
Source: RNAcentral
GGGGAAUAUUGGACAAUGGGCGCAAGCCUGAUCCAGCCAUGCCGCGUGUGUGAAGAAGGCCUUCGGGUUGUAAAGCACUUUUGUAUGGGAAGAAAAGCACUCGGUUAAUACCCGGGUGUCAUGACGGUACCGUAAGAAUAAGCCACGGCUAACUACGUGCCAGCAGCCGCGGUAAUACGUAGGUGGCAAGCGUUGUCCGGAUUUACUGGGCGUAAAGGGCGCGCAGGCGGUCUGUUUAGUCUAGGGUGAAAGCUCCCGGCUCAACUGGGAGAGGUCCUUGGAUACUGGCAGACUCGAGGGAGGCAGAGGAAAGUGGAAUUCCCGGUGUAGUGGUGAUAUGCGUAGAUAUCGGGAGGAACACCAGUGGCGAAGGCGGCUUUCUGGGCCUUACCUGACGCUGAGGCGCGAAAGCGUGGGGAGCGAA